UGCACUGCGAUGUUGUAGAAA
RNAcentral lists this non-coding RNA (21 nucleotides) under Caenorhabditis elegans. The record is from RNAcentral. Lineage: Eukaryota; Metazoa; Nematoda; Chromadorea; Rhabditida; Rhabditidae.